UCAUUCAUUGGUUGGCUCAUAAUCAGUGCUGCCAAGUGAUAUGAAAAGUACUGGGAAGAGGGAAUACAAGAAGUGAGCUGCAUCCACAGAGGUGUGUGUGAUAAAAGGCUCUGCUAGCACGCCAGGAUUCAGGAAUUCCCAAAAGAAAGUUUUUGUUCAAAAAAACAGAGUGGGAGUACAGUGCACUCAGCUUCGUUGGAAACUGUCUCCACCUGCAACUAAAAAGAGUCAAAGCUGGCAAUGUGACCCUGCUGCUUGACAUGCACUUCAGUCUACUUGAAUUCUAUGGAAAAAUGUAUCUUUCAUUAAUGAUACAGAAAAGGAAGGAAAAACAGAGCAUUUUAAAUGUAAAGUAUCAAGAAACACAAGACCAAUGCUCAGCCUGCUGCAGGACUCCAGCCGAACUACCGUGUAGUGCACUCACCCCAGAGGAGCCUGAGGAGUUGCUGGGACAGCUGUCUGCUGUUUACCCGGAGAACACACAGAUUACAGAACCCUGCCAAUGGACCGUGAGAGGAAGUAGCCCAGGGAAACCAG
Long non-coding RNA from Mauremys mutica (yellowpond turtle), 537 nucleotides. RefSeq lists it as uncharacterized. Lineage: Eukaryota; Metazoa; Chordata; Testudines; Geoemydidae. The transcript is spliced from 3 exons. The record is from RefSeq and is a predicted model, not a curated record.